This 423-nucleotide ribosomal RNA is filed under the name uncultured bacterium. RNAcentral's name for it is "bacterial SSU rRNA". It matches the Rfam family "Bacterial small subunit ribosomal RNA", at positions 355 to 775 of the family's 1533-position model. The record is from RNAcentral.
UGAGGAAUAUUGGUCAAUGGGCGGAAGCCUGAACCAGCCAUCCCGCGUGCAGGAAGACGGCCCUAUGGGUUGUAAACUGCUUUUUCAGUGGGCGAAACCCUCGUACGCGUACGGGAUUGACGGUACACUGGGAAUAAGCAUCGGCUAACUCCGUGCCAGCAGCCGCGGUAAUACGGAGGAUGCGAGCGUUAUCCGGAUUUAUUGGGUUUAAAGGGUGCGUAGGCGGAUGGAUAAGUCAGUGGUGAAAUUCUGCAGCUUAACUGUAGACUUGCCGUUGAUACUGUUUAUCUUGAGUAUGGUCAAGGCAGGCGGAAUGUGUAAUGUAGCGGUGAAAUGCUUAGAUAUUACACAGAACACCGAUUGCGAAGGCAGCUUGCUGGGCCAUUACUGACGCUGAUGCACGAAAGCGUGGGGAGCGAACAG